Molecule: non-coding RNA, 106 nt
Filed under: Jiangella alkaliphila
Lineage: Bacteria; Bacillati; Actinomycetota; Actinomycetes; Jiangellales; Jiangellaceae
Description: TPP sequence
Rfam family: TPP riboswitch aptamer (THI element)
About the family: Vitamin B(1) in its active form thiamin pyrophosphate (TPP) is an essential coenzyme that is synthesised by coupling of pyrimidine and thiazole moieties in bacteria. The previously detected thiamin-regulatory element, thi box was extended, resulting in a new, highly conserved RNA secondary structure, the THI element, which is widely distributed in eubacteria and also occurs in some archaea.
Source: RNAcentral
UACCCACGACAGGGGAGCGCUGCAGCGCUGAGAGUGCGGGACAUGCCCGCAGACCCUCGAACCUGAUCCGGGUAAUGCCGGCGCAGGAAGUCGAAACCUCGACCGC